UGGGGUUGUGUUAAUAUAAGAUUGUUAUCUUUAUACAAUUGAAGGGAUGAGGUUGUUAGCCUCAAAUUAAAAUACAAUUGCUUAAAAUAUGUUAUCAUUUAGAAUAAAUAUGUUUUUUAAGAGUUUGAAUUUAUUAAUUAAUCAUUUUUUAAUUUUUUUUAAUAUGUAUAUUACUUUGUAUGCUCAUGUUUCUCCUUCACCAUCAUAAAUUGGUUAGACAUGAUAGUUAUUGGCUCUAGAUCUUAAACCUACCCUCAAGGGAAGACUAGAAAAGAGAAGGGAAUUUUGAGCAAGAAUGGACUUUCAAUACUUGUAUGGUGGUCCAGCAGGCUCAAGCCUUUCUUAAGAAUUGAGUGGAGUACAAUUAAACUUAUUCCUUUUGGAACUUGAAUUGUUUACGAUAAUUAAAUUAUAAAAAAAAAAAAAAGCAUAAUGUGUGUUAAUUUAAGAGCCACUAUAUUGAUUAGUGACUCAGAUUUAUGAAGCCGACUAAAAACAUUGGAGUACUUUAAAAAAAAAUGAAAUUCUACAAAUAACUUGAUUUAGUUGUUCAUUAAAGCUUUAACUAUUAUUUGUUUUUUACUUGUAAUUUAAUCGAAAUAAGUAUUUUGAAAAGAGCAUGUAAUCACCCUCAAACCUAAAGCUACCUUAGGUCUUUAAUUAGUACCUUAAAAGUCUCACUUAACCUCAAUCACCCCUCCCCAAACAAAAGUACCUUAACUUUUUCUAAACUUUCAUCCUAAUCUAACAUAAUAAGAAUGUAAAAGUCAAUAAAACCCAAAAAAAAAAUUCAAAUGAAUUCACAAAUCUCAACUACUUAUUGCCUAACCUAUUUGACAUUUGCAACCAUUAGCUAAUUAGCUUACCUAAAUUAUUUCUUCCCUUUUUAUUUAUUUAUUUAUUUAUUUAUUUUUUAUGUAUUUACAUUUAGCACAACUAAUAUUAAGUCAAUUAAUAAAACAAUUAAAAACAGAGUAAUAGUCAAAAGCUGUAAAUUAGUACGUAAAUAAAUCAUACAAGAUAGAUAUAUAGGUAUUUGAUGGCUCCUACUUUCUACAAUCCUACUCCUUUUUACCAAAAUACCCCUCCCUUAUCUUUCUCUCUCUCAAAUAAUUACACUCAUGAUGACGUUCUCUGUUUCACUCCACAAACCCCCAUAAAAAUCCCACAAACUUUCUUGUUUUCUGAUUCCAAAACCAAAUCAUCAUCUUAAUCUCUCUUAAUUUCUCAAAAAAAAAAAAAAAAAAAAAAAAAUGAAGGAAGCUCGAUUCUUGAGGGGAAUGACGUCUCGGCUCGAAGGCUACCAAUUUACAAUCAAAUUUCUUCAAUUUUAUAAAAAAUUUCUUCAAAUUUUCAUGUAAUUUGUGUCAAUUUUGCCUUCGGACCAGGCUUCAUUCCCCUUAAUUUGAGCUUCCAAAUCCUCAAAUUUAAUCACAAAUGCAAUUUUCAUGCUUCGAUUUCAAAUGGAUUUUGCAGGCACUAAUUAAAAUGUUGCUGGAACUUUCAAUGGAAGAUAUGGUAGUUUUUUUCAUCUUUAAUGGGAAAGAGGUAUCUUUAAAUUUUUAUAUUAUUUAUUGUAUGUAAUGAAUUCUAAUUGUUAUUAUAACCCUAGCUUUUGAUAUAAAGAUAUGGUCCCUUUGUUAUUUUUUUU
Molecule: long non-coding RNA, 1651 nt
Organism: Chenopodium quinoa (quinoa)
Lineage: Eukaryota; Viridiplantae; Streptophyta; Magnoliopsida; Caryophyllales; Amaranthaceae
Exons: 2
Source: RefSeq, a predicted model, not a curated record